UUAGAUCAAUUAAUCUAAUAUGACUUGCUCAUGUCGGUUCACUCUCGACUUGAUUGAGGAGGUUUUGAUUUAGGUCUCAAUUGGGUUUGCUACAUCACAUGUAAACCUAUCUACCCGACUCACAUUCACAUCACAUGUAAACGGCACAUCACAGGCAGUUAUAAUCGUAGCAUCAAAUAAAGCUAAACUUUAACUAGGUGAUGAUUAUGGAUUCUAAUUAGGUCAUAUUACAAGCACAUGCACAUCAAUCGAUCAAGUGGUCUUCAACUCUUGAAUUGGUUCCAAGCCUCCUUGAUUCGAUCCUUGAUCAACUCUUGAUCCCAUCGCCAUCAA
This 333-nucleotide long non-coding RNA is filed under the name Phoenix dactylifera (date palm). RNAcentral describes it as "long non-coding RNA (PDAC_LNC020478)". Lineage: Eukaryota; Viridiplantae; Streptophyta; Magnoliopsida; Arecales; Arecaceae. The record is from RNAcentral.